RNAcentral lists this ribosomal RNA (377 nucleotides) under uncultured Pseudoalteromonas sp. Its description in RNAcentral is "bacterial SSU rRNA". It matches the Rfam family "Bacterial small subunit ribosomal RNA", at positions 413 to 780 of the family's 1533-position model. Lineage: Bacteria; Pseudomonadati; Pseudomonadota; Gammaproteobacteria; Alteromonadales; Pseudoalteromonadaceae. The record is from RNAcentral.
GGCCUUCGGGUUGUAAAGCACUUUCAGUCAGGAGGAAAGGUUAGUAGUUAAUACCUGCUAGCUGUGACGUUACUGACAGAAGAAGCACCCCCUAUAACUCCGUGCCAGCAGCCGCGGUAAUACGGAGGGUGCGAGCGUUAAUCGGAAUUACUGGGCGUAAAGCGUACGCAGGCGGUUUGUUAAGCGAGAUGUGAAAGCCCCGGGCUCAACCUGGGAACUGCAUUUCGAACUGGCAAACUAGAGUGUGAUAGAGGGUGGUAGAAUUUCAGGUGUAGCGGUGAAAUGCGUAGAGAUCUGAAGGAAUACCGAUGGCGAAGGCAGCCACCUGGGUCAACACUGACGCUCAUGUACGAAAGCGUGGGGAGCAAACGGGAUUA